Molecule: long non-coding RNA, 468 nt
Filed under: Callithrix jacchus (white-tufted-ear marmoset)
Lineage: Eukaryota; Metazoa; Chordata; Mammalia; Primates; Cebidae
Description: lncRNA (ENSCJAG00000078858.1)
Source: RNAcentral
AAUCUUCUCGUGCUUCUUGUAGUACCAGUUUUUCCAGAAAGCAUAUUCUCUGAUUCAUCAGAGUGGUCCUCUCUUUUUGCACAUCAGAAAUUUUUCUCCUCUGCACAUCCUUUUCUCUUUUCUCCAUCUGCACAUCCUUGCUGAGAUCCUCAGAAAUAGAAGCUAAGAUGGGCUUUUAUUCAGCAUAUCUUUACCGAGUGCAUACUAUUUGCCAUUCAUGUUUCUAGAUGCUGAAGAUAGAGUAUGGAGUCUCUAGAAACCAUCUCUGUUGCCAUGAUUCUUACUCUCUAACAAGGAAGAUUGACAUUGAACAAGUGAUUUCAGCUCUUAUGAAUAGUGCUACUAUGAACACUGGCAACCCUUAGUCUCAUUUAACAAGUGUGAUGAAGGAAUUCACCUCAUCACAUGGAGGCAUGGAAGACAACUAAGCCUGACCCCAGGGUUGACGUCCUGGCCCAAAGCCUAGAA